Molecule: RNA transcript, 846 nt
Organism: Mandrillus leucophaeus (drill)
Lineage: Eukaryota; Metazoa; Chordata; Mammalia; Primates; Cercopithecidae
Gene name: nuclear transport factor 2 pseudogene
Exons: 1
Source: RefSeq, a predicted model, not a curated record
CUGGGUUGCUGCCACCGCUGCCACCGUCGUGCAAGCCCCUCAGGUCUCCGCGAGGCCAGGUGACGCUCAAGAAUGGGAGACAAGCCAGUUUGGGAGCUGAUUGGAUCCAGCUUCAUUCAACAUUACUACCAGUUAUUUGGUAACGAUAGAACGCAACUAGGCGCAGUUUACAUUGAUGCCUCAUGCCUUACAUGGGAAGGACAACAGUUCCAGGGGAAAGCUGCCAUUGUGGAGAAGUUGUCCAGCCUUCCGUUCCAGAAAAUCCAGCACAGCCUCAUGGCGCAGGACCAUCAGCCUAUGCCAGAUAGCUGCAUCAUCAGCAUGGUUGUGGGCCGGCUUAAGGCGGAUGAAGACCCCAUCAUGGGAUUCCACCAGAUGUUCCUAUUAAAGAACAUCCAGGAUGCUUGGGUUUGCACCGAUGACAUGUUCAGGCUUGCCCUGUACAACUUCGGCUGACCUCCUCUCAGCCAGGCACUAACGCUGUUUCCUCCUCCUUCCUCUUUCCAAUACUAUUCCUACUCCUCCAGAUGCUCCGAAUAUCAUGCACAAGUAAGCAGGGCCGCGGCGAGAGUGGGCGCAGUGCGCUGCUGCCACCGAGGUGUUGUGCAUGAUGUUUGGACGCUAGACUAGUUACAUCUGAUAGAAGUUUGUGUUGUACCAGCGUGUGCCUUGGAAAGACUUAAGUAAUGCAAAAGUUGUCCUCUUUUUGUUUUUUGUUUGUUUUAAUAUACUGACAAGUUGCUUUAGUAACCCAAAGCAGUGAAGGAGAAAGCAGCUCCCUCACCGCCCAGACAUUGAUUUGUUCAGAUGUCUCAAUGCCUUAUGAUACAAUAAAACCACAAAAAU